UCUGAAAUCUUAGGUAAAUCCGGGGUUUCAAGGCCGAGAGCUGAUGACGAGUCGUCUUUUAGAUGACGAAGUGGUUGAUGCCAUGCUUCCAAGAAAAGCUUCUAAGCUUCAGGUAACCAGGAACCGUACCCCAAACCGACACAGGUGGUCGGGUAGAGAAUACCAAGGCGCUUGAGAGAACUCGGGUGAAGGAACUAGGCAAAAUGGCACCGUAACUUCGGGAGAAGGUGCGCCGGCUAGGGUGAAGGAUUUAUUCCGUAAGCUCUGGCUGGUCGAAGAUACCAGGCCGCUGCGACUGUUUAUUAAAAACACAGCACUCUGCAAACACGAAAGUGGACGUAUAGGGUGUGACGCCUGCCCGGUGCCGGAAGGUUAAUUGAUGGGGUUAGCGCAAGCGAAGCUCUUGAUCGAAGCCCCGGUAAACGGCGGCCGUAACGAUAACGGUCCUAAGGUAGCGAAAUUCCUUGUCGGGUAAGUUCCGACCUGCACGAAUGGCGUAACGAUGGCGGCGCUGUCUCCACCCGAGACUCAGUGAAAUUGAAAUCGCUGUGAAGAUGCAGUGUAUCCGCGGCUAGACGGAAAGACCCCGUGAACCUUUACUGUAGCUUUGCACUGGACUUUGAGCCUGCUUGUGUAGGAUAGGUGGGAGGCUUUGAAGCGUGGACGCCAGUUCGCGUGGAGCCAUCCUUGAAAUACCACCCUGGCAUGCUUGAGGUUCUAACUCUGGUCCGUAAUCCGGAUCGAGGACAGUGUAUGGUGGGCAGUUUGACUGGGGCGGUCUCCUCCUAAAGAGUAACGGAGGAGUACGAAGGUGCGCUCAGACCGGUCGGAAAUCGGUCGCAGAGUAUAAAGGCAAAAGCGCGCUUGACUGCGAGACAGACACGUCGAGCAGGUACGAAAGUAGGUCUUAGUGAUCCGGUGGUUCUGUAUGGAAGGGCCAUCGCUCAACGGAUAAAAGGUACUCCGGGGAUAACAGGCUGAUACCGCCCAAGAGUUCAUAUCGACGGCGGUGUUUGGCACCUCGAUGUCGGCUCAUCACAUCCUGGGGCUGAAGCCGGUCCCAAGGGUAUGGCUGUUCGCCAUUUAAAGUGGUACGCGAGCUGGGUUUAGAACGUCGUGAGACAGUUCGGUCCCUAUCUGCCGUGGACGUUUGAGAUUUGAGAGGGGCUGCUCCUAGUACGAGAGGACCGGAGUGGACGAACCUCUGGUGUUCCGGUUGUCACGCCAGUGGCAUUGCCGGGUAGCUAUGUUCGGAAAAGAUAACCGCUGAAAGCAUCUAAGCGGGAAACUUGCCUCAAGAUGAGAUCUCACUGGGAACUUGAUUCCCCUGAAGGGCCGUCGAAGACUACGACGUUGAUAGGCUGGGUGUGUAAGCGUUGUGAGGCGUUGAGCUAACCAGUACUAAUUGCCCGUGAGGCUUGACC
RNAcentral lists this ribosomal RNA (1424 nucleotides) under metagenome. RNAcentral describes it as "bacterial LSU rRNA". It matches the Rfam family "Bacterial large subunit ribosomal RNA", at positions 1524 to 2925 of the family's 2925-position model. The record is from RNAcentral.